Chiloscyllium plagiosum (whitespotted bambooshark) is the source of this 1134-nucleotide non-coding RNA. The record is from RefSeq and is a predicted model, not a curated record. NCBI's taxonomy places the organism in Eukaryota, Metazoa, Chordata, Chondrichthyes, Orectolobiformes, Hemiscylliidae.
UUGAGACAGGGAUCACAAAAGCAAUUUUCUAUCAUCAGCAGGGUCAUCAGGAUCUGAAUACCAUUGACAUUAAACUGUGGAAGGGUUCUGAAAGGGCGGAUUUGUGGAUGAGAAAUUCAAAUUGAACUUCCUGUUCCGUUUUGAUGGUUACUUGAUCCGUGCCGAUCUGAAUAUCAUUGGCCUUUUCAUGUGGAAGGAAAGGGUGCUAGAUGGUGAAGAUUCACAGACUGAAAUCUCAAAAUCAUGUGCAGAUUAUGAUUAAGUUAACCAGCAUUUGACGAACCAAAGACUGAGAGUCAAUCGGCCAAAGUCCUGCAACACUCUCCCUCACAGCAUUGUCAGUCUAUCAGCACCGAAUGGACUGCGAUUGGAUCGAGACAGCAGCUCACUACCAUCUUCUCAAGGCAACUAGAGAUGGGGAAUAAAUGCUGGUUGAGCCAGUGAUGCCCAUAUGCUGGAAAUGGUUUCUAUUCCUAUUUACUGAAACAUGAUUGUAACUACAGGAUGAUGAGGGAUGCUGAGUGCAUGCUUCAGGAGGCAGAACCAUCACAUUACCCCUGCCUAUAUCCACACAGUAACUCAGCAACGGCACUGGAACAAAAGGCAAUGAAGCUAAAGGAGGACUUAGGUAUAGUUCUUUAAGGUAAAGGCAUCAAAGUGGUUUGGAACACAGCAGAAACAGGAGACUGAGCUGGAUGGUCAGCUGUUUCCCAUUGAAUGGUGGUGCAGGAUUGAAAAGCCGAAAGUCCUCCUCCUGCCCCUAUCUCCCAGCUCUGUAUAUAACCAUGGAGCCUGGGUAGGAAGGAGUAGGCAGGACAGGGACUCUCCAGGAGAUUGCACUUCCACAUCAGUUUUCAGUGAGGGAUGGUUUGAUGGACUUUGUUUAACAUUUGUCUUUAAUGCAAAGUUUGUAAAUUUGGUUUUAAAACAUGUAAGAGUUUAUUCCACGAUAAAUGAAACGAAAAGAAAAGAAACAAAACGAUCUGAAUAUAACAGUCUUAAAAUUUCAACGCCGUAUAAAACAAAAUCCCGACGACUCCCGGACACCAUCACUUUCCAGUUACUCAAAUUCCAGAGAGAUAUUUUCCCCCUCUGUCGGAACCUUUGGUUUGAUUUAACUGCUUUUCAGUUCUC